GAAAAUAGAACUGUUUAAAAGACAGGGCAUCUCGCGUGAGCCCAGACAUUGGCUGUGGGGUGAGUUGGCCGUGGCUUCUGGUAUUUCUGCAAAACAAAGCUCAGAUAGUGUCCUGGUGAUGAAUAUCAGUGUGCAGAUGUGUAGCAGAGCAGAGUGUGCGUGGAGACGAGGGUGUAGCAGGAAGGAACGUUGCUGAUGACGUAGCACAGCAAGUGAACAACGGAGGAAAUCAUUAAGGUUUUCAUAGGAACACAAGAAAAUAAUGAGACUCGCGGGAAGCCAACAGUUCUGCUUACCAACAGUGUCUUCAUGAUGCUGGUAACACUUCAACAACAUCGCCAAUAGAAGCAGCAAUCACGAGAGCACUGACACUCACCUGCCUACUGCGUCGUCAUAUUCAACCCUCCUCCUCCUCCUCCUCCUCCUCCUCCUCCUCGUCCUCCUCCUCCUCCUCCUCCUCCUCCUCCUCCUCCUCCUC
This is a long non-coding RNA of Scylla paramamosain (green mud crab), 478 nucleotides long. RefSeq lists it as uncharacterized. Lineage: Eukaryota; Metazoa; Arthropoda; Malacostraca; Decapoda; Portunidae. The transcript is spliced from 3 exons. The record is from RefSeq and is a predicted model, not a curated record.